RNAcentral lists this ribosomal RNA (253 nucleotides) under uncultured bacterium. Its description in RNAcentral is "partial 16S ribosomal RNA". It matches the Rfam family "Bacterial small subunit ribosomal RNA", at positions 524 to 776 of the family's 1533-position model. The record is from RNAcentral.
UACGUAGGGUGCGAGCGUUAAUCGGAAUUACUGGGCGUAAAGUGUGCGCAGGCGGCCGAGCAAGUCGAGUGUGAAAGCCCCGAGCUUAACUUGGGAAUUGCGCUCGAAACUACUUUGCUGGAGUGUGGCAGAGGAAGGUGGAAUUCCACGUGUAGCGGUGAAAUGCGUAGAGAUGUGGAGGAACACCAAUGGCGAAGGCAGCCUUCUGGGCCAAUACUGACGCUCAUGCACGAAAGCGUGGGGAGCAAACAGG